UACGGAGGAUCCGAGCGUUAUCCGGAUUUAUUGGGUUUAAAGGGUGCGUAGGCGGGCUGAUAAGUCAGUGGUGAAAGUUUGCAGCUUAACUGUAAAAUUGCCAUUGAAACUGUUAGUCUUGAGUACAGUAGAGGUAGGCGGAAUGUGUAGUGUAGCGGUGAAAUGCAUAGAUAUUACACAGAACACCAAUUGCGUAGGCAGCUUACUGGAGUGUCACUGACGCUGAGGCACGAUAGCGUGGGGAUCAAACAGGAUUAGAUACCCUGGUAGUCCACGCCGUAAACGAUGAUUACUAACUGUUUGCGAUAUAAUGUAAGUGGUACAGAGAAAUCGUUAAGUAAUCCACCUGGGGAGUACGCCGGCAACGGUGAAACUCAAAGGAAUUGACGGGGGCCCGCACAAGCGGAGGAACAUGUGGUUUAAUUCGAUGAUACGCGAGGAACCUUACCCGGGCUUGAAAUGCAGAGGAAUAUAGUGGAAACAUUAUCGCCAGCAAUGGUCUCUGUGUAGGUGCUGCAUGGUU
This 523-nucleotide ribosomal RNA is filed under the name uncultured bacterium. RNAcentral's name for it is "bacterial SSU rRNA". It matches the Rfam family "Bacterial small subunit ribosomal RNA", at positions 524 to 1050 of the family's 1533-position model. The record is from RNAcentral.